Molecule: ribosomal RNA, 321 nt
Filed under: uncultured eukaryote
Lineage: Eukaryota
Description: partial 18S ribosomal RNA
Rfam family: Eukaryotic small subunit ribosomal RNA
Source: RNAcentral
CCCUUAGAUGUUCUGGGCCGCACGCGCGCUACACUGAUCAGUGCAACAAGCAUCCGUCCUUGGCCGACAGGCCCGGGCAAUCUUUGAACGCUGAUCGUGAUGGGGAUAGACUUUUGCAAUUUUUGGUCUUCAACGAGGAAUUCCUAGUAAACGCAAGUCAUCAACUUGCAUUGAUUACGUCCCUGCCCUUUGUACACACCGCCCGUCGCACCUACCGAUUGAAUGGUCCGGUGAAAUCUCGGGACGGCGGCUCGGUCGCUUGCGUCCGACUGCUGAAACUUGAUUAAACCAUAUCAUUUAGAGGAAGGUGAAGUCGUAACA